AAUAAACGAAUUUCUAAGCUUUUGGAUGAAAUUUUUUACUCUUUGUCUUAUUUGAAAAUUCUUGUGAUUAAUAUUUUUAUUAUUACUACAUUAUAAAACAUGAAUAGUGCUUUACGUGUGACUAAUUUUUUUAAUUUUUUAAUAAAUUUUUUAAAUAAGACGGAUGAUCAAACGCUCAAACUAUAAUACCCAGA
RNAcentral lists this microRNA precursor (194 nucleotides) under Oryza brachyantha (malo sina). RNAcentral's name for it is "MIR812 microRNA precursor family". It matches the Rfam family "MIR812 microRNA precursor family". The record is from Rfam by way of RNAcentral. Lineage: Eukaryota; Viridiplantae; Streptophyta; Magnoliopsida; Poales; Poaceae.